Molecule: ribosomal RNA, 305 nt
Filed under: uncultured bacterium
Lineage: Bacteria
Description: bacterial SSU rRNA
Rfam family: Bacterial small subunit ribosomal RNA
Source: RNAcentral
UGUGCCUACGGGAGGCAGCAGUGGGGGAUAUUGCACAAUGGGGGAAACCCUGAUGCAGCGACGCCGCGUGAGCGAUGAAGUAUUUCGGUAUGUAAAGCUCUAUCAGCAGGGAAGAAAAUGACGGUACCUGACUAAGAAGCCCCGGCUAACUACGUGCCAGCAGCCGCGGUAAUACGUAGGGGGCAAGCGUUAUCCGGAUUUACUGGGUGUAAAGGGAGCGUAGACGGCAGUGCAAGUCUGAAGUGAAAGGCAAGUGCUCAACGCUUGGACUGCUUUGGGAACUGUGCUGCUCUAGUGUAGGAGAG